CAUAGGUUAAUGAGGCGAACCGGGGGAACUGAAACAUCUAAGUACCCCGAGGAAAAGAAAUCAACCGAGAUUCCCCCAGUAGCGGCGAGCGAACGGGGAGCAGCCCAGAGCCUGAAUCAGUGUGUGUGUUAGUGGAAGCGUCUGGAAAGGCGCGCGAUACAGGGUGACAGCCCCGUACACAAAAAUGCACAUACUGUGAGCUCGAUGAGUAGGGCGGGACACGUGGUAUCCUGUCUGAAUAUGGGGGGACCAUCCUCCAAGGCUAAAUACUCCUGACUGACCGAUAGUGAACCAGUACCGUGAGGGAAAGGCGAAAAGAACCCCGGCGAGGGGAGUGAAAAAGAACCUGAAACCGUGUACGUACAAGCAGUGGGAGCACGCUUAGGCGUGUGACUGCGUACCUUUUGUAUAAUGGGUCAGCGACUUAUAUUCUGUAGCAAGGUUAACCGAAUAGGGGAGCCGAAGGGAAACCGAGUCUUAACUGGGCGUUAAGUUGCAGGGUAUAGACCCGAAACCCGGUGAUCUAGCCAUGGGCAGGUUGAAGGUUGGGUAACACUAACUGGAGGACCGAACCGACUAAUGUUGAAAAAUUAGCGGAUGACUUGUGGCUGGGGGUGAAAGGCCAAUCAAACCGGGAGAUAGCUGGUUCUCCCCGAAAGCUAUUUAGGUAGCGCCUCGUGAAUUCAUCUCCGGGGGUAGAGCACUGUUUCGGCAAGGGGGUCAUCCCGACUUACCAACCCGAUGCAAACUGCGAAUACCGGAGAAUGUUAUCACGGGAGACACACGGCGGGUGCUAACGUCCGUCGUGAAGAGGGAAACAACCCAGACCGCCAGCUAAGGUCCCAAAGUCAUGGUUAAGUGGGAAACGAUGUGGGAAGGCCCAGACAGCCAGGAUGUUGGCUUAGAAGCAGCCAUCAUUUAAAGAAAGCGUAAUAGCUCACUGGUCGAGUCGGCCUGCGCGGAAGAUGUAACGGGGCUAAACCAUGCACCGAAGCUGCGGCAGCGACGCUGAUGCGUUGUUGGGUAGGGGAGCGUUCUGUAAGCCUGCGAAGGUGUGCUGUGAGGCAUGCUGGAGGUAUCAGAAGUGCGAAUGCUGACAUAAGUAACGAUAAAGCGGGUGAAAAGCCCGCUCGCCGGAAGACCAAGGGUUCCUGUCCAACGUUAAUCGGGGCAGGGUGAGUCGACCCCUAAGGCGAGGCCGAAAGGCGUAGUCGAUGGGAAACAGGUUAAUAUUCCUGUACUUGGUGUUACUGCGAAGGGGGGACGGAGAAGGCUAUGUUGGCCGGGCGACGGUUGUCCCGGUUUAAGCGUGUAGGCUGGUUUUCCAGGCAAAU
Molecule: ribosomal RNA, 1334 nt
Filed under: Escherichia coli
Lineage: Bacteria; Pseudomonadati; Pseudomonadota; Gammaproteobacteria; Enterobacterales; Enterobacteriaceae
Description: partial 23S ribosomal RNA
Rfam family: Bacterial large subunit ribosomal RNA
Source: RNAcentral